RNAcentral lists this transfer RNA (81 nucleotides) under Streptococcus infantarius subsp. infantarius. Its description in RNAcentral is "tRNA-Tyr". It matches the Rfam family "tRNA". Rfam says of the family: Transfer RNA (tRNA) molecules are approximately 80 nucleotides in length. Their secondary structure includes four short double-helical elements and three loops (D, anti-codon, and T loops). Lineage: Bacteria; Bacillati; Bacillota; Bacilli; Lactobacillales; Streptococcaceae. The record is from RNAcentral.
GGAAGGGUAGCGAAGAGGCUAAACGCGGCGGACUGUAAAUCCACUCCUUCGGGUUCGGGGGUUCGAAUCCCUCCCCUUCCA